AGCCAUGCGAGUUAAAUGUUCUUCGUGAACAUAGCAGACUGCUCAGUAACACGUGGAUAACCUGCCCUUAGGACUGGCAUAACCCCGGGAAACUGGGGAUAAGUCCGGAUAGAUCAUAAAUGCUGGAAUGCUUUAUGAUUGAAAGGUUUCGACCGCCUUAGGAUGGAUCUGCGGCCUAUCAGGUUGUAGUGGGUGUAAUGUACCUACUAGCCUACGACGGGUACGGGUUGUGGAAGCAAGAGCCCGGAGAUGGAUUCUGAGACAUGAAUCCAGGCCCUACGGGGCGCAGCAGGCGCGAAAACUUUACAAUGCGGGAAACCGUGAUAAGGGAACACUGAGUGCUAGCAUUUAUGUUAGCUGUCCACAUGUGUAAAUAGCAUGUGAUAGCAAGGGCUGGGCAAGACCGGUGCCAGCCGCCGCGGUAACACCGGCAGCCCGAGUGGUGAUCACUAUUAUUGGGUCUAAAGGGUCCGUAGCCGGUUUAAUCAGUCUUCUGGGAAAUCUAAUCGCUUAACUAUUAGGCUUCCAGGGGAUACUGUUAGACUUGGGACCGGGAGAGGUAAGAGGUACUGCAGGGGUAGGAGUGAAAUCUUGUAAUCCCUGUGAGACCACCAGUGGCGAAGGCGUCUUACCAGAACGGGUCCGACGGUGAGGGACGAAAGCUGGGGGCACGAACCGGAUUAGAUACCCGGGUAGUCCCAGCUGUAAACGAUGCUCGUUAGGUGUCAGGAACGGUGCGACUGUUUCUGGUGCCGAA
RNAcentral lists this ribosomal RNA (757 nucleotides) under uncultured archaeon. RNAcentral describes it as "bacterial SSU rRNA". It matches the Rfam family "Archaeal small subunit ribosomal RNA", at positions 47 to 805 of the family's 1478-position model. The record is from RNAcentral.